This 343-nucleotide unclassified non-coding RNA is filed under the name soil metagenome. RNAcentral describes it as "partial contains 5.8S ribosomal RNA, internal transcribed spacer 2, and large subunit ribosomal RNA". The stretch from base 1 to 120 matches the Rfam family "5.8S ribosomal RNA", at positions 35 to 154 of the family's 154-position model. The record is from RNAcentral.
GAUGAAGAACGCAGCGAAAUGCGAUAAGUAAUGUGAAUUGCAGAAUCCAGUGAAUCAUCGAAUCUUUGAACGCACAUUGCGCCCGCCAGCAUUCUGGCGGGCAUGCCUGUUCGAGCGUCAUUUCAACCCUCGACCUCACUUUGGGGAAGUCGGCGUUGGGGACCGGCAGCACACCGCCGGCCCUGAAAUGGAGUGGCGGCCCGUCCGCGGCGACCUCUGCGUAGUAAACCAACUCGCAGCGGAGCGCCGAGGUGGGGAGGGGGGAAAACACCCAACUUCUGAACGUUGACCUCGAAUCAGGUAGGACUACCCGCUGAACUUAAGCAUAUCAAUAAGCGGAGGA